GACGAACGCUGGCGGCGUGCUUAACACAUGCAAGUCGAACGGAAAGGCCCUGCUUUUGUGGGGUGCUCGAGUGGCGAACGGGUGAGUAACACGUGAGUAACCUGCCCUUGACUUUGGGAUAACUUCAGGAAACUGGGGCUAAUACCGGAUAGGAGCUCCUGCUGCUUGGUGGGGGUUGGAAAGUUUCGGCGGUUGGGGAUGGUCUCGCGGCUUAUCAGCUUGUUGGUGGGGUAGUGGCUUACCAAGGCUUUGACGGGUAGCCGGCCUGAGAGGGUGACCGGCCACAUUGGGACUGAGAUACGGCCCAGACUCCUACGGGAGGCAGCAGUGGGGAAUAUUGCACAAUGGGCGGAAGCCUGAUGCAGCAACGCCGCGUGCGGGAUGACGGCCUUCGGGUUGUAAACCGCUUUCGCCUGUGACGAAGCGUGAGUGACGGUAAUGGGUAAAGAAGCACCGGCUAACUACGUG
RNAcentral lists this ribosomal RNA (468 nucleotides) under uncultured bacterium. RNAcentral describes it as "partial 16S ribosomal RNA". It matches the Rfam family "Bacterial small subunit ribosomal RNA", at positions 28 to 507 of the family's 1533-position model. The record is from RNAcentral.